GACGAACGCUGGCGGCGUGCCUAAUACAUGCAAGUAGAACGCUGAAGGAGGAGCUUGCUUCUCUGGAUGAGUUGCGAACGGGUGAGUAACGCGUAGGUAACCUGCCUGGUAGCGGGGGAUAACUAUUGGAAACGAUAGCUAAUACCGCAUAAUAGUAGAUGUUGCAUGACAUUUGCUUAAAAGGUGCAAUUGCAUCACUACCAGAUGGACCUGCGUUGUAUUAGCUAGUUGGUGGGGUAACGGCUCACCAAGGCGACGAUACAUAGCCGACCUGAGAGGGUGAUCGGCCACACUGGGACUGAGACACGGCCCAGACUCCUACGGGAGGCAGCAGUAGGGAAUCUUCGGCAAUGGACGGAAGUCUGACCGAGCAGCGCCGCGUGAGUGAAGAAGGUUUUCGGAUCGUAAAGCUCUGUUGUAAGAGAAGAACGAGUGUGAGAGUGGAAAGUUCACACUGUGACGGUAUCUUACCAGAAAGGGACGGCUAACUACGUG
Molecule: ribosomal RNA, 495 nt
Filed under: uncultured bacterium
Lineage: Bacteria
Description: partial 16S ribosomal RNA
Rfam family: Bacterial small subunit ribosomal RNA
Source: RNAcentral